Molecule: ribosomal RNA, 440 nt
Filed under: uncultured bacterium
Lineage: Bacteria
Description: partial 16S ribosomal RNA
Rfam family: Bacterial small subunit ribosomal RNA
Source: RNAcentral
CCUACGGGAGGCAGCAGUGGGGAAUAUUGGACAAUGGAGGAAACCCUGAUCCAGCGACGUCGCGUGAGUGAAGAAGUAUUUCUGUACGUAAAACUCUAUCAGCAGAGAAGAAAAUGACGGUACGUGACUAAUAAGCCCCGGCUAACUACGUGCAAGCAGCCGCGGUAAUACGUAGGGGGCAACGGUUAUACGGAUUUACUGGGUGUAAAGGGAGCGUAGACGGCAGCGUAAGUCUGUAGUGAAAUGCCGGGGCCCAACCCCGGAAUUGCCAUGGAAACUGUGAAGCUGGAGUGCAGGAGAGGUAAGCGGAAUUCGUGGUGUAGCGGUGAAAUGCUUAGAUAUCAGGAGGAACACCGGCGGCGAAGGCAGCUUACUAGACUGUAACUGACGUUGAGGCUCGAAGGCGUGGGGAGCAAACAGGAUUAAAUACCCUAGUAGUC